This 71-nucleotide transfer RNA is filed under the name Loxodonta africana (African savanna elephant). It matches the Rfam family "tRNA". From Rfam's summary of the family: Transfer RNA (tRNA) molecules are approximately 80 nucleotides in length. Their secondary structure includes four short double-helical elements and three loops (D, anti-codon, and T loops). The record is from Rfam by way of RNAcentral. Lineage: Eukaryota; Metazoa; Chordata; Mammalia; Proboscidea; Elephantidae.
GCAUUGGUGGUUUAGGGGUAGAAUCCUCACUUUCCAUGCGUGAGAGCUGGGUUCGAUUCCCAGCCAGUGCG